GAUGAACGCUGGCGGCGUGCCUAAUACAUGCAAGUCGAGCGAACAGAUCAUGAUCUUGCUCCUUUCACGUUAGCCGCAGACGGGUGAAUAACACGUGUAUAACCUACCUAUAUUACUGGUAUCACUUCGAAAAACCGGCUCUAAUACCGUAGAAGCUCUUGAACCGCAUUGUUCAAUGGUGAGAUACGGCGUUUCGGUAACGUAUAGCUGCAUCCGAGCCGCAUUAGCUGGUUGUUAAGGUAACGGCUUACCAAGGCAACGAUGCGUAGCCGACGUGAGAGGGUGAUCGGCCACACUGGAAGUGAGACACGGUCCAGACUCCUACGGGAGGCAGCAGUAGGGAAUCUUACGCAAUGGGCGAAAGCCUGACGGAGCAACGCCGCGUGAGUGAUGAAGGUCUUCGGAUCGUAAAACUCUGUUAUUAGGGAAGAACAAAUGUGUAAGUAACUAUGCACGUCUUGACGGUACCUAAUCAGAAAGCCACGGCUAACUACGUG
RNAcentral lists this ribosomal RNA (497 nucleotides) under uncultured bacterium. Its description in RNAcentral is "partial 16S ribosomal RNA". It matches the Rfam family "Bacterial small subunit ribosomal RNA", at positions 28 to 507 of the family's 1533-position model. The record is from RNAcentral.